This is a long non-coding RNA of Zonotrichia leucophrys gambelii, 1232 nucleotides long. RefSeq lists it as uncharacterized. The record is from RefSeq and is a predicted model, not a curated record. NCBI's taxonomy places the organism in Eukaryota, Metazoa, Chordata, Aves, Passeriformes, Passerellidae. The transcript has 3 exons.
GAGAAAUAGGAGGCAUAUUGUAACUCUGAUUCACAGUUUCAGAACAACAACAUCAAUGAAUAAAGAGACUGUGCUCUAGAGUUCAACUUCAGCCAAGUUGCAAGGACAAGAGACUUAGAUCUCAGAGGUAACAAAACUGAAGGCAGUGACUGCUGAAUAAGUGUGGAAUGCAAAGCAAGAUAUUGCCAAUGCAAUUAGAAGUGCAGCAGUGAAUUUCACCACAGAUGAGAUCUAGUUGCAACACUGGAUAACAUGUACAUGCGAAGAUGCUUCUUCUGCUCCUCAUGUUUGAACAGCAGCUGAGCCAUGUAGGAGAAAGCAUUCCCAGAAAAAGGAGCUCCAGGCAGAGACUGCAGCAACACAGUUCUUGAACAUCCAUUGACAUUAACCUUGACAUGGCUCAAAUGAUAAUGAAACUGGUCUCUGGUGCAUCUUUACAUACUCUCUGUUAUCAUCCCAGGGUAAAUAAUGUGAGCCCAGUAUGAUGAUGUAAUUGAAGUACUCUUCAAUAUUCACCAUUUGUACAGCUGUCGUGGCUUAACCCCUGCUGGCAACUCAGCACUACUCAGCAAUCCACUCAGUCUCCCCUCCCACAUGGAAUGGGGAGGAGAAUUACAAAAAGGUAAAACCUGCAGGUUGAGAUGAGAACAGUUUGAUAAUUCAAACAAGGUGAAAUAUAAUAAUAAUAAUAAAUUAUAACGAGAAGGAGAGAGAAGAAUAAGACCCAAGGAAAAAGGUGAUGGAGGAUACAAUUACUCAAUACCUGCUGGCUUGUGCCCAGCCCAACCCUGAGCAGGAAUUGGCAGAUCCCAGCUAACUCCCCUCAAUUUAUAUACUGAGCAUGACAGUUUAUUUCAUGGAAUAUCUGCUUGGCUAGUUUGAGUCAACUAUUCUGGCUAUGCUCCUUCCUGGCUUCUUGUGCACCUGCUUGCUGUCAGAGUAUAAGAGUCUGAAAAGUCCUUGAUUUAGAGAAAACACUACUGAGCAAAAACCAAAACAUCACUAUGUUGUCAACAUUACUCUCACACUAAAUCAAACACACAGCUCUGUACCAGUUACAUGAAAGAAAAUUAACUCUGUCCCAGCCAAAAAUAGGAUAACAGAUGACCUAAAAUUGCAGAACUUUAUCAGCUAUUUUCAAUUUUAAAAUAUUUUUCUAUCAAAAUUUGUAAGUUUUUUACAAAAACAAAUAGAAAUUCAAAACAGUUUUAUCACUUCCCUUUCAAUGUGGA